UGGCCGACUCUUACUCAUCCCUCAAAACCCUUUCCCAAUGAUGUUUACCCAGGCUCUGGGAAGUUGUCUCAACACUGAGGCUGAGUUUUAGCGUCCUUCCCCGGGGUCCCCAGCGGUGACAGCUCCUGGCAGGGAGUGCUAAAGUCCUUUGGCUACUGCCCGAAGAUGACGUCUUGGGACCGUCUCAGCCGCCAGCAGCACCCUCCAAGGAUGAGGAGGCCCCCAGGAACUUUGGCUCCUGAACUGAACUACCACAGUGUCCUGGGUCAGCUCCGAGAGCAGUUCCCCAGGUGAGAGUGGCUCUCAGGGGCCCACGUGGAGGGGGAGAGACUCCCACCUGGUCUCUGGGUGGCCCAGCAGCCCUUGGUCCAAAUGACAGAACUUGGUAACAAAGAGCCUUAUUGGAGCCUGAAGCAAAAGGAAAGAAGCACCAUUACCAACCCG
This 444-nucleotide long non-coding RNA is filed under the name Canis lupus dingo (dingo). Its description in RNAcentral is "lncRNA (ENSCAFG00020018226.1)". Lineage: Eukaryota; Metazoa; Chordata; Mammalia; Carnivora; Canidae. The record is from RNAcentral.